ACCCGGCUGGCUCAGUCGGAGGAGCAUGAGACUCUUGAUCUCAGGGUCGUGAGUUUGAGCCCCACGUUGGGUA
Molecule: transfer RNA, 73 nt
Filed under: Canis lupus familiaris (dog)
Lineage: Eukaryota; Metazoa; Chordata; Mammalia; Carnivora; Canidae
Description: tRNA-Lys (CTT) (tRNA-Lys-CTT-20-1)
Source: RNAcentral